Amphibalanus amphitrite is the source of this 522-nucleotide long non-coding RNA. RefSeq lists it as uncharacterized. Lineage: Eukaryota; Metazoa; Arthropoda; Thecostraca; Balanomorpha; Balanidae. The record is from RefSeq and is a predicted model, not a curated record. The transcript is spliced from 4 exons.
CCCCCAGACAGGGAGGGGAGGGGAGGCGCAAACAUGUAGUGACUGGAAGCGCGGCAUGAGGUGACAGGUGUCACGGUGGUCUUGUGUUGAUGUGGAUAUUGUUUUGUGUCAGGGGUGGGCGGAAAUGAUCGACUUUGAAGAGAAUGCUGCAAGAUAUGGAUGCUUUUUACGGUACGUCGAACUGGAAUGUCAUCAGGCCUGACACUCCAGUAGGCCUGACACGCGAAUGAUACCUUCCCUCCUUUCAAAUGGACACGGAAUAUGCAUGAAACAUUGAAUGAGAUUGAAGAUUGAUCAUUUGUCUAAAUGCUCCUGCUUAGUUGAGCGGCUGAUUGACACACCUCCCAGAUACCCGGACGAAUUUUUAAGAUCAAUUGUACUGCCAACAUCUACAAUCAUUGCAAGACUGCAAUAAAGAACCGAGUAGUAGCCGAGCUUGCAACGAACAUUGUGCGUCAUGUGUGAUAACCGUUCGAACCGUUCAAUAAACUAGCCCUUAAGUGGGAACAACCGAAAAAAAAA